Molecule: small RNA, 125 nt
Filed under: Xenorhabdus bovienii str. feltiae Moldova
Lineage: Bacteria; Pseudomonadati; Pseudomonadota; Gammaproteobacteria; Enterobacterales; Morganellaceae
Source: RNAcentral
AAAAUAAGGUUACUACAGAAACCAUUACGACGAUUACCACCGGAACCAUGAGUUACGGGGCGGGCUGACGCGUACACAUAAAAUAAUAAAAAGCCCGUAUCCCUCAAGAUACGGGCUUUUUUUUG